UACGGGGGGAGCAAGCGUUGUUCGGAUUUACUGGGCGUAAAGGGCGCGUAGGCGGCCUCUGCAAGUCGACUGUGAAAUCUCCGGGCUUAACCCGGAAAGGUCAGCCGAUACUGCAGGGCUAGAGUGCAGAAGGGGCAAUCGGAAUUCUUGGUGUAGCGGUGAAAUGCGUAGAUAUCAAGAGGAACACCUGAGGUGAAGACGGGUUGCUGGGCCAACACUGACGCUGAUGCGCGAAAGCCAGGGGAGCAAACGGG
Molecule: ribosomal RNA, 254 nt
Filed under: uncultured bacterium
Lineage: Bacteria
Description: partial 16S ribosomal RNA
Rfam family: Bacterial small subunit ribosomal RNA
Source: RNAcentral